AUUGAACGCUGGCGGCAUGCCUUACACACGCAAGUCGAACGGCAGCACGGGAGCAAUCCUGGUGGCGAGUGGCGAACGGGUGAGUAAUAUAUCGGAACGUGCCCAGUCGUGGGGGAUAACUACUCGAAAGAGUAGCUAAUACCGCAUACGAUCUACGGAUGAAAGCGGGGGAUCUUCGGACCUCGCGCGAUUGGAGCGGCCGAUAUCAGAUUAGGUAGUUGGUAGGGUAAAAGCCUACCAAGCCUGCGAUCUGUAGCUGGUCUGAGAGGACGACCAGCCACACUGGAACUGAGACACGGUCCAGACUCCUACGGGAGGCAGCAGUGGGGAAUUGUGGACAAUGGGCGCAAGCCUGAUCCAGCAAUGCCGCGUGCAGGACGAAGGCCUUCGGGUUGUAAACUGCUUUUGUACGGAGCGAAAAGGUCUCUACUAAUACUAGGGGCUCAUGACGGUACCGUAAGAAUAAGCACCGGCUAACUACGUGCCAGCCGCCGCGGUAA
RNAcentral lists this ribosomal RNA (500 nucleotides) under uncultured bacterium. RNAcentral describes it as "partial 16S ribosomal RNA". It matches the Rfam family "Bacterial small subunit ribosomal RNA", at positions 30 to 523 of the family's 1533-position model. The record is from RNAcentral.